GGGAUUUUCUGGUUUCUUUUAAGAGUUUCCUGCCUUAGUGCUAGUUAGUUCUCUAUCAUAAAUCUGUUCUUUAUAUGCAGUCUCUCUUACAUUUCAGUUUGCAAAAAACAUAUUUUCUUUUUUCCAUUUGUAAUCUAGUCUGGCCUGGAUCAUUUCUAGUUUGGACAAUUUCCAGGUGAAGAUUAUGGUGGUAGUUUUCUCCUGAGACUUAAAAGCAAUUUGGUGUCAUGUGGAUUAGUUACUAGUCAGAGCACAUGCUGUCCAAUGACAGGCUGCUGUCAGUCACUGCUGGACCAGUGUGAUUGGUAUUUCUCCAUCUCAUGUAAUGCUUAUGCUGGUAGUACUCUGUCAGAACCUGUUUUGUUGAAACAGAUCUCACGACAGGAAGAGGAGUUGAUAUCUGACUGGAAAAGGAUAUAUCUUGCACUUCAAUAUCCCAUUAGAGACCCAAAUAUUAUUUAUUUUAUAUUUAUAGGUAUCCCUUAUAUCAGCGUUUCUCAACCGCUGGUCCGGCGGACCGCCACCGGUCCGCGGAGAAAUUUGACCAGUCCGCG
Molecule: long non-coding RNA, 554 nt
Filed under: Androctonus crassicauda
Lineage: Eukaryota; Metazoa; Arthropoda; Arachnida; Scorpiones; Buthidae
Source: RNAcentral